GUAGGUGGCAAGCGUUGUCCGGAGUUAUUGGGCGUAAAGCGCGCGCAGGCGGUUCUUUAAGUCUGAUGUGAAAGCCCACGGCUCAACCGUGGAGGGUCAUUGGAAACUGGAGAACUUGAGUACAGAAGAGGAAAGCGGAAUUCCACGUGUAGCGGUGAAAUGCGUAGAGAUGUGGAGGAACACCAGUGGCGAAGGCGGCUUUCUGGUCUGUAACUGACGCUGAGGCGCGAAAGCGUGGGGGAGCAAACAGGAUUAGAUACCCUGGUAGUCCACGCCGUAAACGAUGAGUGCUAAGUGUUAGGGGGUUUCCGCCCCUUAGUGCUGCAGCUAACGCAUUAAGCACUCCGCCUGGGAGUACGGCCGCAAGGCUG
This 371-nucleotide ribosomal RNA is filed under the name uncultured organism. Its description in RNAcentral is "partial 16S ribosomal RNA". It matches the Rfam family "Bacterial small subunit ribosomal RNA", at positions 527 to 896 of the family's 1533-position model. The record is from RNAcentral.